RNAcentral lists this ribosomal RNA (406 nucleotides) under uncultured bacterium. RNAcentral describes it as "partial 16S ribosomal RNA". It matches the Rfam family "Bacterial small subunit ribosomal RNA", at positions 30 to 526 of the family's 1533-position model. The record is from RNAcentral.
AUUGAACGCUGGCGGCAGGCUUAACACAUGCAAGUCGAGCGAGCGGCGGACGGGUGGGUAAUGUCUGGGAAACUGCCUGAUGGAGGGGGAUAACUACUGGAAACGGUAUCUAAUACCGCAUACCAUCAGAUGUGCCCAGAUGGGAUUAGCUUUUUGGUGGGGUAACGUAUCACCAAGGCGACGAUCCCUAGCUGGUCUGAGAGGGUGACCAGCCACAGUGGAACUAGGGGACGGUCCAGACUCCGACGGGAGGCAGCAGCGAGGAAUAUUGCACAAUGUGAGCAAGCCUGAUGCAGCCAUGCCGCGUGUAUGAAGAAGGCCGUCGGGUUGUAAAGUACUUUCAGCGGGGAGGCGUUACCCGCAGAAGAAGCACCGGCUAACUCCGUGCCAGCAGCCGCGGUAAUUC